GCCCGGGUGGCGAAACAGGUAGACGCAAGGGACUUAAAAUCCCUCGGCCGCAAGGCCGUGCCGGUUCGACCCCGGCCCCGGGCACCA
RNAcentral lists this transfer RNA (87 nucleotides) under Pseudomonadales bacterium. RNAcentral's name for it is "tRNA-Leu". It matches the Rfam family "tRNA". Rfam says of the family: Transfer RNA (tRNA) molecules are approximately 80 nucleotides in length. Their secondary structure includes four short double-helical elements and three loops (D, anti-codon, and T loops). Lineage: Bacteria; Pseudomonadati; Pseudomonadota; Gammaproteobacteria; Pseudomonadales. The record is from RNAcentral.